GCCUAGGUAGCUCAGAGGUAGAGUGAGUAUAAGUGAGCGGAAGCGCCUAGCAACAACUAGCAGGUGGUCGCAGGUUCGAAUCCUGCCCGGUGGCU
Molecule: non-coding RNA, 95 nt
Organism: Meloidogyne enterolobii
Lineage: Eukaryota; Metazoa; Nematoda; Chromadorea; Rhabditida; Meloidogynidae
Source: the annotation of a GenBank genome assembly